CAGGAAAUACCACCGGCGACCGGAGGCGACGACGAUGAGGGAGAUGGAGGCCUCGCGCGCGCGCAUCAGUGGCGCCUGGGGGCCGGACGCGUGGCGGAGAUUGGGGAGUCGCUGGCACCGGCCACGGCCACGUCCACUCAGGUAUGCCCGGCGGGCCGGCCAGGUUGCGGGGGCAAUAGAGGAGCUAUGCCUCUCAGCAAGAUAAUUGCCUCUCUGCUUUUAUUUCGUGUUAGGUUGUCCAUCCGCCGAAUGGAUUUGAGAAAAUUAUUUUAGGGCAGGCAAGAGGUUCACUUCUCGCUGCUUGUUUUUGUUCAGUGAUUUGUGAUGUCUUAGCAGCUCAAUAGGUUCAAACUUAAUGGAAAAGCUUUGCCACCAAAAUUUUGUAGUUCACUCCUCACUGCUAUCAAAUUGUCUCGAAAAGGUUCCUCAGUAUGUAAAUUGGGCAGGGUUUUCGUUAAUUACACCUAAAUUUAUUUUGAUAUCUCUUGUUGCCAAAAUUGAGCUAAACCUGACAUCAAUAUCUGCUAUUCACGGCCUUCUAUUUCUACUUGCAGAUUAAUUCCCUAAUUAUUGCUGCUAUCUUUUUUGCAUUGCGUCGUAUGUCAUGUGCAUGUGGUCUGGCAGAAGACCAAAACGAAUCAAAAGUUAGAAAAAUCCAUAGAACUGACCUUAUGUUGUCGAUUUGUUAAGUACUCCUAUCAUAUAACUUAAUAUUCUUUUUCAAUCCACUAUCAUGGUUAUGUAAGUGUUGAUCUGUUAUCAGCCGCAAUUUGAUUGGAGAUAGAAGGGAGCGUGUGGGCAGUUGUUCAUGCCUUAAAAACAUAGCCUGGGAUGAGUGUCGCCAGCAAUGUACUUUGACAUAAGCAGCCAUAGAAUCAUUUACAAGGCAGACAUUCAUGCCUACAAGAUUUUGCUUAAUCUGGCCACAAGUAAGCACCCUGGGACGAGUGUCUAGUCAACGGAGCACACUUCUUAUGCCUAGAUAUAAAGAUUAUAUGUGCUUUCGGUGCAAGUAAGUUAAUGUGCAUUGCAAGUUUGCGACUAAAUGUUUCAUAUAUACUUGAUUGAGCAGAACUAACCUCCCAAUGCCAAAGUUGAAACUGAACCUUAAGAGUAUGUCAUAACAUAAUACCUGUUGUAUGUGAGCCAUGUUCCAGUCUGGUUCAUAAGGCCCAAUCCCAUGCACUGACCUAGAAGAGGAGCUUGUCUGGUGUCUGAUUGGGUGCGCCGCCACACACACCAAAUUGACAGGGCUCCUGAUAUAUGUCUCUCGUGCUACAAUACCAUACUGAUCUGCAUGCAGUCUUAGAAGUUAGAAUCACUGAUGGUCGUUGGCAUAAGAAAAUAGUGUUCAUAAAUAUACAUCUUGUAAGAUAGGCAGACAAUCUUCUUUUCAUAAAUAAACAAAUAAAGGCAUGCCUCAAUAUUGCUAUAUUUGAAUGUGAUUAUAAAAGUCCUGCACAUGCUUCUACAAAAUGGGUAUUAUGGGGUUUGACUGCAUGGGAAAAGCACCCCGACAAGUUCUCAAUUAUUCUGAAGGUGUACUAAUGGGCAAGGGUCUAAAGUUCAUGCAAUUUUUGAACUUUAGAACCAAUGUACUGAGAAACAAACUAUGAACAGCGUUCUGAAUAAUCAAAACUGAAAACUAAGUUUUGGCAGAUCUAUUCUUUUUUCUUUUCUACGUCUUGCAAACUAUAUUUAGUUUGAAGUUCAAAAUCUGCACACAUUCACAACCACGCCCUUCCCUACCAAUCCACCUUGUAGAAUUUGUGAGAACUUUUACAUGUUAUUUUCAUACAACAUUUUUGGCGUUUUGUGUAUUUGCGCAGGAUAUACUCCUGUUUAUGACGGGCAAGUUAUUAAACUGUUUAUUAACUAUUACCCUUGUCAAUACUAACAAGUCAAUUUGAAACUGAACACUGAUGCGUGUUUUGUUUCCUAUUUCUUGGGUGCAAACAUAUUUAUCUACUCAGUAUCAUUUAAACGAAGCCUAUUGCUGAAUAAAGCGCUUUAAAUUCUCUGCAAUGUUUAUGGCAUUUUCAAACAUUGACCUUUCACUGUGUAUUGCAUUAAGGCUCAUAACUGUUUCAGAAGUCAAUGGUAGUGCUACCAUAGGCUGAGCUAGGUACAGCCAUCUAAUUUGCUACUCUAGAGACCUAAGAAGGUGAAGUCCCUGUGGCCUGCAUUCCAGUUUAUCAUGUAAUUUUAGAAGAAAUAGUUCAUCAUGCAAUUGUUACAGACUAAAACUUUUAUUUUAUAACGAUUGCCUUUUGGUUAUCAUUACAACAACGGAGUUUCAUUUUAUCAUUUCAUCCCUUAUCUCCUAGCUAGCUUGAACACCGUACUGUAUUGGAUUCGGCAACACCUAUAAUAAUUUCUGAACUUAGCUUAUGAAGGAUGAAGGAAAGAUUGUGGUAUCCCUCCAAGGACUGUCUACGGAUGAUCUCCUCGUGCACCAGUUUUACCCUCCCCCUCAACCAGCUUGUGGUAUCUGUCAAAGCGGCUACUUGUGGUGCCAAGGCGGUGGGCCCGCUUAGCAAGAUCUGGGUGCUAGUUGACGACGUGCCAGUGGGGCUUCGAUCUGUGGAGUUCAUGAUGGCGUUUGGUAAGCUCAUUGGCAAGCCCGUGGAAGUGGAUUCGGAAUCCCUGGGCAAGGUUGGCCCGGUUCGUCUCAAUGUCUGGUGCAUCGACCCCGUUUGCAUUCAUGGCUCUGUGGAUGUCUUCCCUUCUCCUGAGGGUGUGCGACUUCGGGUGGAGGGUGCUGAACCCCGUGCUCCUCCUCCACCUCCGCCUCCUCCUUCCAAGCCUUCGGACCAAGACGACACGCAGGGGGAUGGUUCGGCUGGGGGGCAGAACCCAAGUGGAGGUACUGAUCCGCGUUUUACACAAUCUGAAUGGGAUAAGUUGGAUCCGGAUGAACGCGAGCUGCUCAAGGAUAAUGCCCCUGCCCCUAAUCCUCAGAAGGAGGACUUGGCUUCCCGUGUCGCUGGUGCUGGUAAGGGGACCCCCUUCUCUGGAGUUUGCUCCAAUGUGCCUACUCGCCCGCAGUCUCCUUCCUUCUCUGGGAUCGAGGAUCUUCCUGCUUCCCCCUUGCGCUCCACCGAGCCCUCAACUAAGAAGAAGAAGAAGUCUUCGGUCCGGAAAUUCUCGGCUAAGAGUCGGGCCUCCUCCACUUCCAAGCUUUCGGCGGCGGAUCUGGCUCGUCGUCUGGACAAGGACCUGGGCUCCGCCUCGGGGUCUGGCCCUGGGCCGGCGUCGCCGAUCCGGUGCUCCCCUGUGCUGCAUUCUCCAGCGUCCACGGCGCGGAAGGGCCGGCGUGUGCGUGACUCUGGCGUUUCGGUGGCGAUGCAGGCGGAACGGCGUGCCGCGGCCAAGGAUCUCCCUCCUUCAGGUUUGUCUGCCCAACCAUCUCUUCCUGCCUCUCCUGUUCGCCUUGUUUUACCAGCUCUGUCAGAUGACCAUUUGCUGCAUAUCAUGUCUGAUAUUGGGGUGGCUGCGAUACCGGGGAUGGGCUCCCCCUCUCACCUUCUUUCUGUCAUUAGGGCCAAUGAGGCAGCCCAGGCUGCCAUUGCUAAGGCCGUUGAGGCCGCGAAAGGUGCUGGUCCUGCUGGUGCUCAGGGCCAAGCCGGGGGGUUGGAGGCGACAAAUGGUUGUGGCCAGUCGUCUGCCCCCCGGCCCUUGCUAAGGUUGGGCGUCCCAAGCGAUCUAAGCCUUGUGGGGCUUCGUGCAGAUCGAGUCUCCGUAUUAAAAACCUUUCCUUCAAAUGAGAGCUUUAUUUUGGAAUAUUCGUGGUUUCGGUGCUAGGGGGCGCCGUGACCAGAUUCAUGACUUGGUUUGUGGUGAACAUAUUGACAUUUUAGGGCUGGUCAAAACGUUUAAGGAAUCCUUUUCCCCUUCUGAACUCUCUGCGGUAGCUGGGAUGGAUAGGUUUGAUUGGCACUUUCUCCCCGCCUCGGGUCAUUCUGGGGGAAUCCUUAUUGGGUCCAAGCGGGACGUUUUUGAUUUCAUUGCUUUUGAUCAUGGCAUCUUUUGGGCUAGCUGCGUGGUUCAUCAUCGUCAGCUCAACACUUUGUGGGAAUUUAUGGUGGUAUAUGGCCCUGCGGAUCACACGCUUGCUCCUCUCUUUUUGGACGAACUAUCGAUUAAGAUUGAAACAUGUAAUAUUCCUCUUCUAAUUGGGGGUGAUUUCAACUUGUUACGUUCUCCGGCCGACAAGAAUAAUCCUAAUUUCUCCUGGCCACUUGCCAAUGCUUUUAAUGAUUUCAUUAGUAACUGCGAGAUGCGUGAGCUCCCUAGGGUGGGGGCGCGUUUCACCUGGUCUAACCAUCAAUCCUCGCCUGUCCGGUCGGUGCUGGACAGGGUUUUUGUUUCUGUUCAGUGGGACUCGCUGUUUCCCCGCGCGCUGCUUAAGGCUAGGCCUGCGGUGGGCUCUGAUCAUGUUCCCCUGAUCCUGGAUGCAGGUAUCCUCUCUCUUGUUUCUCCCUCCCGUUUCCAGUUUGAUGCUUCUUGGCUUGUUGUGGAGGGCUUUUGUGACAUGAUGGUUUCUAAGAUUACUAAUCUUCUCUCGUCUCCUCACCGCUCAUUUGGUCCCUUGGAUGAUUGGCACAAGGUGUCUUAUGAGUUGCGUAAAUUCUUAAGGGGGUGGUCUCGGAAUAGGGCGGUCGAGUUGCGUAGAGACAAGGAAUCCCUCGAAUCUCAAAUCAGGGAUUUGGACCAAUCUGCUGACACAUCUGGGCUCUCCGCCUCUCAGUGGGCUACUCGCUACUCCCUGGAAGACGCUUUGCUGUUGCUUCACCAACAGUCAGAGAUUUGCUAGCGCCAACGAGGUGCCCUUAACUGGACCUUAAAAGGGGAUGCUAUGACGGCCUAUUUUUUGCGAUCGCGAAUGGCAGACGCCGCAGGUGUUUCAUUGACACUCUGUUGAUUGACGGCGUUAGAGUUUCUGACUAGUCUCUCAUUAUGAAUCACAUUGUUAGCUUCUAUUCUAAUCUACUCGGCUCUAAGCCGGACCCUGGGCUUGGCCUUUGUCCUGACUUCUGGGAUGAGGGGUCUAAGAUCUCUCCGGACGAAAAUUCGGGCCUGAUGGUUCCCUUAUCUGAUGAAGAGAUUUGGCAGGUGAUCAGCUCGGCUAACCCGCAUGCUGCUUCCGGCCCUGAUGGUUUUUCGAUCCCCUUCUUCAAAAAAUUCUGGCCGUAGUUGCGGCCUCUCAUUUGUAUGAUCAUCCAAGGGUUCUGGUUGGGUACGGUGGACAUUUAUCGCCUUAAUUACGCUGUCAUUACCCUUAUUCCUAAAGUCAAGGGCGUGGAUUUGAUCUCGCAAUUUAGGCCGAUUGCCCUUAUUAAUAACUUGCCAAGUUUCCGGCUAAAGGGUUAGCCACUCGUCUCACCCCCAUUGCCCACCGUACCAUUAGCCCUUUCCAGUCGGCUUUCAUUAAGGGUCGUUUCAUUCUGGACGGGGUUCUCUGUUUGCAUGAAAUCGUUCAUGAUCUUAAGAUUCGCAAGUCGAAAGCGGUGAUUCUAAAAUUAGACUUUGAGAAGGCCUAUGACUCGGUGAGUUGGCACUUUCUGCGUAGAGUUUUAUUGGCCAAAGGGUUCGAGGGGCCCCUCGUCCAUAGGAUUCUGCAGUUGGUCUCGAGAGGCCACACUGCCAUCAAUGUUAAUGGUCAGGUUAGCAAAUUCUUUGCCAACAGUAGGGGCCUGAGGCAAGGCGAUCCUGCCUCUCCCAUCUUAUUCGAUUUUGUUGCAGAUGCUUUACCUCGCCUACUUUCUAGGGCAGCUACUAGUGGGCACAUUACUCAGGUGUGUUCUAAUCUCAUCCCCCCUGGUCUCACCCAUCUCCAAUAUGCGGACGACACUAUUAUUCUGGUCGAGAUGAAUGAGGCCUGCCUUGCCCACCUUAAAUUUAUUUUACUUUGCUUCGAGGCUAUGGCGGGGCUUAAGAUUAACUUUGCCAAGAGCAAAGUAGUUGUGACUGGUGUGGACGAUUCGGAAGCCGCGCGAGUGGCCCACCUUCUUAACUGUAAGCAGGGCUCCUAUCUGUUCAAGUACUUGGGUUUGCCUAUUUCCCCGGAUGUGCUCCAUGCCAAAGAUUUUGCCCCGAUAGUCACUAAGGUGGGAAACAGGGUCCUUCCCUGGCGGGGUAGAUAUAAUACGAAUGCUGGUAAAGUGGCUCUAAUUAAUGCUUGCCUCUCCUCCCUCCCCAUGUUCCUUAUGGGCUUCUUUCUCUUGUCGGCUGGGAUUCAUGCUGGUUUUGACAAAACACCGUGGGGCGUUUUAGUGGAAUGCUGCGGACAAUCGUCGCAAAUAUCGCUUCGUCAAAUGGAAAUUGAUGUGCAGGCCCAAAAACCUUGGGGGGUUAGGGAUUCUUAAUACUUCCAUCAUGAAUCAAUGCUUGAUGAUUAAAUGGUGGUGGAAGAUUAUGACCGCUGAGGAUCAACCCCUUUGGCUGUCGAUCCUUAAGGCUAAAUAUUUCCCAUCCUCGAGCCCGAUGUUUGCUUUGCCGCGUGGUGGCUCUCAGUUUUGGAAGUCUCCGGUCAAAGUUAGACCUGUUUUUUAAUCUUUCGUUAAGUUUGUUGUUGGGGACGGUUCCUCUAUUCGGUUUUGGCUUGAUUGGUGGUGUGGAGAUUCACCUCUCUCGGUGACCUUCCCUACCCUUUUCUCUUACUGCUCUGACCCUAAUAUUUCUAUUGCGAAGCUUGCAUCCCAGGGGUGGAACCUGGCCUUUCGCCGUUCUCUGUCGCCUGUAGAGUUUCAAGAUUGGCAACGUCUUACUGCCCUCUUCCCUACGCUCUCGACGGUCAGGGACUCGGUGCUUUGGCCGCUUUCUGCCUCUGGGCGGUUUUCUGUUAAGUCUCUUUAUUCUAAGCUCGUUGGUGGCACGCCUACCAAUCGUUUUUCCCAAGUUUGGAAGGCCAGUAUUCCCCCUAAGAUUAAAAUUUUCUUGUGGCAAGCCUUUCGAGGCCGGUUGCCCUCGGCUGAUCAGAUUCGUAAGAGAAACGGGCCGGGCUCCCAGUUUUGUGCUCUUUGCGGUGAUGUGGAAGACUCAGAUCAUAUCUUUUUUCACUGUCACCUGGCUAACCUUAUUUGGAGUUGUGUGCGGGACUGGCUUCAUGUGUCUUGGGCCCCUGCCUCCUUUGCUGAGUUGCGCAGCCUGGCGUCCAACCUCUCCGGUGUAUCUAGACGCAUCUUUUGGGUGGGCUUGGAGGCUUUAUGCUGGUCUCUGUGGACUACUAGGAACAAAUUUACUAUCGAGCACGUGUUUCCGGCUAAACCGGCUGACUGCUUAUUUAAAUCGUGUGCUUUCCUGCAGCAGUGGAAAUCAUUGACUAAGGCCGACGACCAAGAGGCGCUCUGUAUGCUGAUCGACAAAAUCUGGACCACGGCGUCUCAGUUAUGCAGACAAGAGCAGGAUGCUUGAGUGCUUCUUUUGGGCCAGAUUCUUUAGCUUUAGUUGGUUCUGUCUCUUCCGGCCUGCGUGCCGUGUACUGGCGUGGGAGCCAUGUACCUGACUUUAUCCUUCGUCGUCUUGCCCAGCGUUGGGGCUUGGGUGUGUUUGAUACUUUUCGAUGAUGUUGUUGCUACCUGCCUUAUGGCUUUAUUUAUAAAGUCGGGCGUAUGCCUUUCC
RNAcentral lists this long non-coding RNA (7623 nucleotides) under Triticum aestivum (bread wheat). Its description in RNAcentral is "long non-coding RNA (TAES_LNC000722)". The record is from RNAcentral. Lineage: Eukaryota; Viridiplantae; Streptophyta; Magnoliopsida; Poales; Poaceae.